AGUAUUAUAAUAAUAAAUGUAUUUGUCUUAAUUAUAUCUUAUUAUUAUUUUAAUUUCCAGGCUCUGAAACAGCUGCUUUGAAGAGAUCUUUCAAAUGAAUGACUAGGCUGUGAAUUGCUAAGUGCUGAUAAAUGGGGCUGCUGUACCACUUUCUGAAGCAGAUGUCACCGAUCACGAAGGCAUCAAUUGCAAAAGUCUGUCUUUUGGAAAGAUGACUGUAGAUGAGAAGAGAAGAAGGAGCAGACGGUGGUGCCGUCUUGUCUCAGGACCAAGUACUGCCGUGGAGUUGUAUACUGUACAAAAAGCAUCCCCCUGCGGAAAAACAGUUAGUGCUUCUGCAAACAGUCAGCGUGGUGGAUUUUAUGGUGGGAUUUCUACAGCUGGGAGAGAACUAUCUGUGAAUUUCCAGGAGUCAACCUAGAAAUGCUCUACUGUCUCUUUGCACGUGCUAUUCAACCCAGUGGAGGUGAAGUGCUUCAAAACGCUCUGAGGUCACUUACGAUCUGAAAGGGUUGGAAGAAUAAAAGCUGCCCAUGUGUGCCA
This 543-nucleotide long non-coding RNA is filed under the name Struthio camelus australis. RNAcentral describes it as "lncRNA (ENSSCUG00000011133.1)". The record is from RNAcentral. Lineage: Eukaryota; Metazoa; Chordata; Aves; Struthioniformes; Struthionidae.